GACGAACGCUGGCGGCGUGCCUAAUACAUGCAAGUAGGACGCAGUUGCGAACGGGUGAGUAACGCGUAGGUAACUGACUAUUAGAGGGGGAUAACUAUUGGAAACGAUAGCUAAUACCGCAUACUAGUAGAUGGACCUGCGUUGUAUUAGAUAGUAGGUAGGGUAAUGGCCUAACUAGGCGACGAUACAGAACCGACCUGAGAGGGUGAGCGGCCACACUGGGACUGAGACACGGCCCAGACUCCUACGGGAGGCAGCAGUAGGGAAUCUUCGGCAAUGGGGGGAACCCUGACCGCGCAACGCCGCGUUAGUGAAGAAGGUUUUCGGAUCUUAAAGCUCUGUUGCUAAGGAAGCGGUACUUAACCAGAAAGGGACGGCUAACUACGUGCCAGCCGCCGCGGUAAUUC
Molecule: ribosomal RNA, 407 nt
Filed under: uncultured bacterium
Lineage: Bacteria
Description: partial 16S ribosomal RNA
Rfam family: Bacterial small subunit ribosomal RNA
Source: RNAcentral